GACAGAGGGUGCAAACGUUGCUCGGAAUCACUGGGCGUAAAGGGCGUGUAGGCGGGAAGGAAAGUCAGAUGUGAAAUCCCCGGGCUCAACCCGGGAACUGCGUCCGAUACUGGAAGGCUUGAAUCCGGGAGAGGGAUGCGGAAUUCCAGGUGUAGCGGUGAAAUGCGUAGAUAUCUGGAGGAACACCGGUGGCGAAGGCGGCAUCCUGGACCGGCAUUGACGCUGAGGCGCGAAAGCCAGGGGAGCAAACGGG
Molecule: ribosomal RNA, 253 nt
Filed under: uncultured bacterium
Lineage: Bacteria
Description: partial 16S ribosomal RNA
Rfam family: Bacterial small subunit ribosomal RNA
Source: RNAcentral